GCGUAGGUGAUGGACAACAGGUUGAUAUUCCUGUACUACCGAUAACCGUUUGAGAGAAGGGAUGACACAGUAGGAUAAGCUAAGCACACUGUUGGUUAUGUGUGCCCAAGCAUUGAGGCAGUCAAAGCAGGCAAAUCCGCUUUGAUAAUGCUGGGAUGUGAUGGGGAGCGAAAUUUAGUAGCGAAGUAGCUGAUUUCACACUGUCAAGAAAAGUCUCUAUCGAGGUUAAAGGUACCCGUACCGCAAACCGACACAGGUGGGUGAGGAGAGUAUCCUAAGGCCAGCGAGAGAACUGUUGUUAAGGAACUCGGCAAAAUGACCCCGUAACUUAGGGAUAAGGGGUGCCACCAUCCGGUGGCCGCAGAGAAUAGGCUCAAGCGACUGUUUACCAAAAACAUAGGUUUCUGCUAAGUCGCAAGACGAUGUAUAGGAGCUGACGCCUGCCCGGUGCUGGAAGGUUAAGGGGAUCUGUUAGAGCAAUCGAAGCAGUGAACUUAAGCCCCAGUAAACGGCGGCCGUAACUAUAACGGUCCUAAGGUAGCGAAAUUCCUUGUCGGGUAAGUUCCGACCCGCACGAAAGGCGUAACGAUUUGGGCACUGUCUCAACAACAGAC
Molecule: ribosomal RNA, 614 nt
Filed under: Clostridioides difficile
Lineage: Bacteria; Bacillati; Bacillota; Clostridia; Peptostreptococcales; Peptostreptococcaceae
Description: bacterial LSU rRNA
Rfam family: Bacterial large subunit ribosomal RNA
Source: RNAcentral